Molecule: ribosomal RNA, 585 nt
Filed under: uncultured Gammaproteobacteria bacterium
Lineage: Bacteria; Pseudomonadati; Pseudomonadota; Gammaproteobacteria
Description: bacterial SSU rRNA
Rfam family: Bacterial small subunit ribosomal RNA
Source: RNAcentral
CUACGGGAGGCAGCAGUGGGGAAUAUUGCACAAUGGGGGAAACCCUGAUGCAGCCAUGCCGCGUGUGUGAAGAAGGCCUUCGGGUUGUAAAGCACUUUCAGUUGUGAGGAAAGGUUGAUGGUUAAUACCCAUCAGCUGUGACGUUAGCAACAGAAGAAGCACCGGCUAACUCCGUGCCAGCAGCCGCGGUAAUACGGAGGGUGCGAGCGUUAAUCGGAAUUACUGGGCGUAAAGCGCACGCAGGCGGUCAUAUAAGCUAGAGGUGAAAGCCCCGCGCUCAACGUGGGAAUUGCCUUUAGAACUGUAUGACUAGAGUCUUGGAGAGGGGAGUGGAAUUCCAGGUGUAGCGGUGAAAUGCGUAGAUAUCUGGAGGAACAUCAGUGGCGAAGGCGGCUCCCUGGCCAAAGACUGACGCUCAUGUGCGAAAGUGUGGGUAGCGAACAGGAUUAGAUACCCUGGUAGUCCACACCGUAAACGCUGUCUACUAGCUGUGUGUGUAUUUAAUACGUGCGUAGCGAAGCUAACGCGCUAAGUAGACCGCCUGGGGAGUACGGCCGCAAGGUUAAAACUCAAAUGAAUUGACGG